AUGAAUAUCGAAUCGGUUGUCUGUGCUGGUGGCAACACAUGUGCACGUCGAUCGUAAUUCCAUCCUCCUUUCAAUCGUCCAAGUGUGUGUUUGGUCGACCUCGGUCGGAGAGUCAUGGCCCUUGGGCUUGAUUCGUUCCAGAUGCGCCUUGGUUAUUUCACCCACUCUGGGUAUCAGAAACAAAGAAAAUCUUAUAUAAACUAUA
This 205-nucleotide unclassified non-coding RNA is filed under the name soil metagenome. RNAcentral describes it as "partial internal transcribed spacer 1". The record is from RNAcentral.